This 253-nucleotide ribosomal RNA is filed under the name uncultured bacterium. Its description in RNAcentral is "partial 16S ribosomal RNA". It matches the Rfam family "Bacterial small subunit ribosomal RNA", at positions 524 to 776 of the family's 1533-position model. The record is from RNAcentral.
UACGGGGGGGGCAAGCGUUGUUCGGAAUUACUGGGCGUAAAGGGCUCGUAGGCGGCCCUCUCAGUCGGAUGUGAAAUCCCCAGGCUUAACCUGGGAACGGCAUCCGAUACUGGAGGGCUUGAAUUCGGGAGAGGGAUGCAGAAUUCCAGGUGUAGCGGUGAAAUGCGCAGAUAUCAGGAGGAACACCGGUGGCGAAGGCGGCCCACUGGCUCGAUACUGACGCUGAGGUGCGAAAGCGUGGGGAGCGAACAGG